This 252-nucleotide ribosomal RNA is filed under the name uncultured bacterium. RNAcentral describes it as "partial 16S ribosomal RNA". It matches the Rfam family "Bacterial small subunit ribosomal RNA", at positions 545 to 793 of the family's 1533-position model. The record is from RNAcentral.
UCGGAAUUACUGGGCGUAAAGCGCGCGUAGGCGGUUAGUUUAAGUGAGGUGUGAAAUACCCUGGGCUCAACCUAGGAACUGCAUUUCAAACUGGAUAACUUGAGUAUGUCAGAGGGUAUUGGAAUUUCCCCGUGUAGCAGUGAAAUGCGUAGAUAUGGGAAGGAACAUCAGUGGCGAAGGCGAAUACCUGGGAUAAUACUGACGCUGAGGUGCGAAAGCGUGGGGAGCAAACGGGAUUAGAUACCCUGGUAG